This is a long non-coding RNA of Monomorium pharaonis (pharaoh ant), 2835 nucleotides long. RefSeq lists it as uncharacterized. The transcript has 4 exons. The record is from RefSeq and is a predicted model, not a curated record. Lineage: Eukaryota; Metazoa; Arthropoda; Insecta; Hymenoptera; Formicidae.
UUCAGUUGUAGAUACAUACUCAUAUCUAUAUACAUAUACCCCGCAUAAAAUAUCUUAUUCAAAAAUAAUGUUUUGCAUUUACGAGAUUUUAUCGUGAAUUCUGCUUUGCAAAAAUCUCGGAUUGGAUCGUGGCCAAUACUUUUUAGUGCGAUAUUGAGAAUAGAACCAUGAAAUUUUGUAUGCCUCUGAAUCCGAUAACAAUUUGCAGAAGAAGUGAAUCUUUUUUAACGCAAAGACUAGCAUUCAUUUGAAUGCUUCUUAUUGCGAUUGAAUGCGAAAAAUGUUUAUAGUCAAGUAAAUUCUUUUGAAUGCAAAAGUUAUUAUUUGAAAUAAAUUGAAUCCUUAUUCAAGCAGAAUUCGGAAGGUAUUCAAUUUAAUAUCUUCUGAAUUCUGUUGAAUUCUGCUUUUUGCAAAAUGUUAUGAAAAAACACUUUUUUCAAAAUUUUCCAACAAUUUUUAAAAAGCGCACAUUUUUAAGAUGUAAACUUUGAUUCUAAUAUCAAUUUUAGAAGAUAAUCUAAAAGGUUUCAUUUAAAUUCAUGCUGUUUUUAAUUAUUCUGUAGUAAUUUAUAUUUUCUGUCUAAAGAUACUCCACUAAAUAAUGAUAAAUAUCCUUUUUCAUUUCACCCUUCGAACAUUGUUCCAAGUAUAUUAAGGUUAUCAUAAGUAAAAUUACCUAAAUGUUUGCUUUCAUUCUGCGAACCUAUGGAAAUAGCUCAAAACGAAACGAUGUUCAAAUCUCCAAUUUUAAUAAAAUUCUAUGAAUGAGUAGUAUUUCAUAUAAAAUUUAUAUAAUGUAAUGAGGUCAAAUAAAUAGAUGUUUUCGAGAAAAAAAUUGAAAUGGAGUUAAAGUUUUGCGAGGCUAACGUAAAGACUAUGAAUAUGAUGAAAAUCGAACCGAGCACAAUAAUGAGUAAAAUGCUUGCGUGCGGAAUGCUGAAUCUGUAGUUAAUUUCCUGCGGCACAUAGUAUUUUUUGUGGUUUAAUUUUUUAAUUAAUUAAAAGAGAAAAGGAGUUGUAAACAAUUAUCUUAUUUAAAUGAUUUAGUAAAUAUUUAUGAUAUAAUUCGUGAUGAUAUAAAUGGCUACAGCUCUAAGAUAAAAAGAGAUAGAAAUAUGUUCUAAGUGCGUCGCGUAAUGUUCCGCGGCUGCGCACCAAUAACCACCAUCUUAGUUGGGCUAGUGGCAGCCUGUGUGUGCAUAUAUAUUCAAAUAUGUUAUAUUAUAUUAAUACAUAUAAUACAAAAGUUCCUCUUUCGCUUCUGCAACUAUUUCUUCGGAUCCUUCCAAGACGAUUCUCGUAAAAGUACAAUGGCGUGCAUCCUUUCAAGCGAGAAAUUAUUGCGUCUGUAGCUGGCUUGAAGUACUUCGGGGAACCAGUUAAUGCUCAAAAACGGUUUAAAGAUAUAAAACCACUUGUGACAACGCAGGAUGGCCAGCGCCCGACACUACGCCACCCCAGGCAGCAGAGCGUACGAAAAACAAAGCGCCUGAGUUAGAAUAUCCACAGCAAAGAAUGUUAGAAAACUGGAGAUGCGCGCCAACGCCCGCGAGAGGCCCGACAUUCUUUAAAGUGAAAUUUUACUUACAAGAGAAGUGCAUCAAGUGUUAAUCGCGAAUGGAUAUGUUAUAUAUCGUUCGAAAGGUCUUGUCAAGUAGAAUUUAUGUAUGCAACAUUUCGCUUGAAUGGCGUCUUUAGAAGGCGCUAUGCGCAAUAUAAGUUAUAGAGCUAGUUUAGCUCCCUCACGCCGAAACUGCGUUUCGACCGCCAGCAACAUCUUUCUCUCUUUAUUUUUAUUAACAAUAAGAUAAAAUAAAAAGUGCAAUUUAUGUUAUAUUAAAGUAUCUUGUUAGUAAUAACUUUUUGACUUUUUUGUUUUUUUACUUUCAAAACUCUAAUAUUAGUUUCUUGGUUUUCUUUUUUUCUUUAUUUUUGUUUUUAAAAUAAAAUAAGUGCAAUUUAUGUUAUAUUAAAGUAUCUUAUUGUCAAUAACUUUUUGGUCUUUUUGUACUUUUAAAAUAAAAUAGAAAAUGCAAUUUAUCUUGAAUUAAAUAAAAUAUCCUAAAUAAAACUUGUGCAACUAAUUAUACUAGUAGAGACACCUUUUAUUUAAUGCUAUUUUUAAAGCAGAAACUCUAAUUAACUUUUAUAGAAACCCAAAUAGUUAUGUAAUUACAUUACGCAUAGCGUCCUCUAAAGGCACCAUUCAAGCGAAAUAUUGCAUACAUAAAUUCUACUUGACAAGAUUUAUCGAACGAUAUAUAACCCACAUCCAUUCGUGAUUAAUACUUGGUGCCUUGAGUAGAGGUGCGUAAAAGUACAGUACGUAUUUUGUUGAGAAUAACCAUGUCAGUUAAGUCGUAAUUUAUGGUAAAAAUGCCAUCCUCAAGGUCAUUGAGGAUGGGAACCCAUCCUCAAUGACCUUGACCUUAACAUAUGUUGUCAAGAUCAUGACCCUGAGUAAUGUAUAAAAGGUUUUAGCCGUCGCUCAUUGUUCUGCGAACAUAAACGUAACCAGCAAGGUCUACCCUAUUUCACUAAAGUUUCAACAAUACGAUGAUAUCAGUGCUUUACGUAAAGUAAACGACGUCCACGCUUGUACAGUACCACAUGAGUUUGCGACUUUCCACGCCAAACAAGAUCCACGCUAUUCGUUUCCAAUGUUUUCGCAACCAAAUAACGACAUAAAAUUGGUUGUGUUAAAGUUACGAAAAAUUACAAGGGCAUGUAGGGGAAGGGGCGGAGCCCCUUCCCUACCCACGAGUUCUCUAUGCUAUGUAACGACUUUUCAAAUUUUAUUCCAUAUUAAUAAAAAAAUAAUGGUACAUUAAAAAA